AAACUCAAUUAUGGACAGUAAAUUUUUUUUUUUAUUUAAAGCAGAAACCACCAACAGAAGAGAUCUGAGUUCAUAAGACCCAAAACAGUAGCCUAUAAGCUAUAAUUAGGGGCAGAAAGCUAGAACCCAGAUGAGAUUUUGGCCAAAAAAGUAUUGAAGAAAGAACUUUUGUACCAUUAGGGGCAGAAAUCUGUUCUUAUUUAUUGUUUCUUGUUUAUCGUACACAGGGCAUCAAAGUUAGAAACCAAAACAAGAAAUCAGAUGAGAACUUUAUGCUAAUUUCGCCAAGCAGAUCCACAGUUGAGAA
Long non-coding RNA from Cucurbita moschata (crookneck pumpkin), 307 nucleotides. RefSeq lists it as uncharacterized. NCBI's taxonomy places the organism in Eukaryota, Viridiplantae, Streptophyta, Magnoliopsida, Cucurbitales, Cucurbitaceae. The record is from RefSeq and is a predicted model, not a curated record. The transcript has 2 exons.